Molecule: ribosomal RNA, 253 nt
Filed under: uncultured bacterium
Lineage: Bacteria
Description: partial 16S ribosomal RNA
Rfam family: Bacterial small subunit ribosomal RNA
Source: RNAcentral
UACGUAGGGGGCAAGCGUUGUCCGGAUUUAUUGGGCGUAAAGAGCGUGUAGGCGGCCAGACAGGUCCGUUGUGAAAACUCGAGGCUCAACCUCGAGACGCCGAUGGAAACCGUUUGGCUAGAGUCCGGAAGAGGAGAGUGGAAUUCCUGGUGUAGCGGUGAAAUGCGCAGAUAUCAGGAAGAACACCCGUGGCUAAGGCGGCUCUCUAGUACGGUACUGACGCUGAGACGCGAAAGCGUGGGGAGCGAACGGG